This 236-nucleotide ribosomal RNA is filed under the name uncultured bacterium. Its description in RNAcentral is "partial 16S ribosomal RNA". It matches the Rfam family "Bacterial small subunit ribosomal RNA", at positions 98 to 334 of the family's 1533-position model. The record is from RNAcentral.
CCGGACGGGUGGAACUAACACAUCCAACCUGCCGUCUACUCUUGGACAGCCUUCUGAAAGGAAGAUUAAUACAAGAUGGCAUCAUGAGUCCGCAUGUUCACAUGAUUAAAGGUAUUCCGGUAGACGAUGGGGAUGCGUUCCAUUAGAUAGUAGGCGGGGUAACGGCCCACCUAGUCUUCGAUGGAUAGGGGUUCUGAGAGGAAGGUCCCCCACAUUGGAACUGAGACACGGUCCAA